RNAcentral lists this long non-coding RNA (4582 nucleotides) under Sus scrofa (pig). RNAcentral's name for it is "lncRNA (ENSSSCG00000055879.1)". Lineage: Eukaryota; Metazoa; Chordata; Mammalia; Artiodactyla; Suidae. The record is from RNAcentral.
GGGCAGGGACCGAACCCGCAACCUCAUGGUUCCUAGUCGGAUUCGUUAACCACUGUGCCACAACGGGAACUCCUGGAAGGUACUAUUCUUAGCGGAAUUAGUCAGAGAAAGAAAUACUAUAUGUUCUCACUUAUAUGUAGGAUCUAAAAAAUAAAAUGAGUCAAUAUGACAAAACAGAAACAGACUCACUGAUACAGAGAACUAGUGGUUACCAGUAGGGGAGAGGGACGAAGGAAGGGUCAGGACAGAGGUAGAGGAUUAAGAGGUACAAAUUACUAUGUGUAAAAUAAAUAAGCUACAAGGAUGUGUUACACAGCACAAGGAAUAUAGCCAAUAUUUUAUAAUAACUUGAAAUGGAGUAUAAGGUAUAAAAUACUCGAAUCACUGUUUCGCAUAUCUGAAAUCAACAUGUUACAAAUCAACUAUACCUCAAUAAAAAUAUCAUUAAAAAAUACACAAACCUGGAAUUUCCAUUGUGGUUCAGCGGGUUAAGAACCUGACAUAGCAUCUGUGAGGAUGUGGGUUCCAUCCCUGGCCUCACUCACUGGGUUAAGGAUCCAGCAUUGCUGUGUGAUGUGGCGUGGGUCACAGACUCAGCUCAGAUCUUGUGUUGCUGUGGCUGUGGCGCAGGCCGGCUGCUGCAGCUCUGAUUCAGCCUCUGGGGCCUGGCAACUUCCAUAUGCUGCAGAUGCGGUCCUAAAAAGGAAAAAAAAAUAUACACAAACCUAAGUAAGUAUAGAAGAACUGUAAACACUUAAAUAUUAAAAUCAUUUGUUUAUAAGUUGGUAGAAGUUACGGUUCUGAAAUUAUUAAAACUUAAAAUUUCAUAGAGGGGGGAGAAAAGGCUGCUGACCUCAGGACUGUGUUGGGUGUUCACAGGUCAAUUGACACAAGGCACAUGGAACAGUACCUGGUACAUAGCAAGUGCUUGGGGCAUUUGAGCUAUUAAUACUGGCAAGCCCCGGGCCUCAAUUUCCUCAUCUGCAAGAUGGGGCCACCGUGCUCUCCUCUUAGGGACGGACUCCGUGGGAUCAGCAGGCACAGCCUUUUAACACAGGGGCUCACACAUGGCCACGUGCCCGAGUGGCAUUAGCAGACUCUGACCUUGGGACCCAGAUGUUAAAAUGGUUUUCUUUCCUACCCAAGUUUAGCUGAGACGUGGAAAACAACACAGGCAGUGUCACUCCCUAUUGCCAGCUGCCUCCCAGGUCACUGUGCUGGACGUGCUGAGGUCACAAGGGGCGCUCUGGUCAGCGUGUGUCCAAUCCCACUCGGGUGUAAACCGGGCAGAAGAAAGGCUGCUCUAGAGAGAGCUGUUGGUGGACGGCGGGUUCCUCGGGGUGGGGUGGGGGGCCUCACCCCAGCACCCCUCCUCAUGGUGGCCGCCCUGCAGCCAUGCCAGCCCCUCUCUGAGGGCGUUGCCUUGUGCUUACCGGGUGCUUGAGGCUCAGGGAAUGUUCACCGCUGUUCUGAGCUCAGAUGUGCGUGGUCCUCAGGUCAGCAUCCUGGCUGUGCUGCCAGCCUCCUCGGCAUGUGGACAACGUCCUUAGUGGAGAACUGUGCGUGGUAUCUUGUUUAUGUAAAAAAACCUUUUUAUUAUGGCUGAUUUCCAUUGUUCUGUCCAUUUCUGCUGUGCAGCACAGUGACCAAGCCAAACAUCUGCACGCACGCUCUUCCUCACAGUCUGUCAUCACGUCCCAUCACGAGUGACUGGACAUAGUCCCCCGUGCGGUAUAGCGCGACCUCAUUCUCUAACCAUCCUACAUGCAACAGUUUGCAUCUAUAAACCCCGACACCCAGUCCCUCCCCAGCCCUCUUGUCUUGUUUAUUAUUAAUUGUGGCAACACACACAUACAAUUUACCCCCUUGACCGUUUUUUAGGCGUACAGUUCCGCGCCAUUAACACCACACGGCAUCCACGUCGUGCAACCGUCACUGCCACCUAUCUCUGGAACUUUCUCAUCUUGCACAACAGAAACUCCAUAUGCGUGAAACCACAAUUCCCCAUUCCCCUCUCCGCAGGCCCCUGCCCACCCCCAGCAACAACCAUUCUUACUUUCGGUCUCUAUGCCUCGGACUAGUCCAGGGAACCUCAUACAAGUGGCAUCAUACAGUGUUUGUCUUUUUCUGGGUCUGGCUUAUUAUACUUUGCAUCCUGAACUCAAGGCGCAUCCAUGUGGCACAGGUGGCAGCAUUUCCUUCCUUUUGAAGGCAUUUCUCCCCAUUCUUUCCUGGUCCUUCCACCCAGAGGUGUCCCAGAAUUACAGCCCCGUCAGGGCUGCCCACAGCGUCAUCCACACACAGGGAAAUCCUGCAAGGAGGUCGCGUGUGGUCCAUUUUGGAGGAUUUCUCUUCAACUGCCUAAAAUAGUACGAUUCCAAGUGCUUAAAGAGAGAAAGGUUUUUCAUCUGGACAAGGCCGUUUUCCAGGAAAUGAAGUAUUUCCACGCACGAAGAAGGUAAGAGUAUGAGGAGCUUUCUCAAGUGUCAGAGUGAACCUGGACUUCAAAGUGACCUUCGAGAAGGUCCUUUACUAUGUCUUCAGGGGCAAGUGUUUACAGGUAUAACCUUGGGCUUUUCUGAUUCCUUUAAUCUGGGUUUGGCCCAUCACAAGAUGCGGUGGGGACAAGAGGGGGACUCAGAGGCUGUGGCCAGGGUGCUUCCACUUGGCCACUGGCUGAUGUCCUCAUCGUGGGUUAGUGGCAGGGGCACAUGCCCUGAUUUUCAGUGAUCACUUGGUUUUGACUGCGGAUCUGGCUGUGAGCAAUGGAAAAUGAGCUCCCACUGGAACCUCUUCUGGUGCCUCUGAUCACGGAGGACCUCUCACUGCGGGGCCUCCGAGAAUAAGACUGGCAAGCUGGCCAGGUGGAUUGGGUGAUCAACACAGCACUUAGGAUGUUGUUAUGUGCAAAGUGAAGGGAUUUUCCUGUAAACAGCCUGACAUUUCCUGUAAAAACGAAGGAAGGGGAGGCUAGCUUGGCUUCCGAAGCUGUCCUCCUGACUCACAGCUCUGCGCCACAGGAAGUCUGCCACAUGGGCACGUUCCCUCACCCCCUGAUGGGGAUGGAGGAGGAGAAUCCAACUCCCCCAACCCCCUGACAUGAAGCCGAUGAUCCUACAGGAACUACGGGUGUGAGAAACGUUCGCAGGGUUGGCGGAAUUGAUGGUCCUGAUGGCCAAGGAACCCAGAGAGGCCUGAGUCCUGGCCACAAUCCAUCUUCCUUCCCUGGGGAUCUGAGGGAGACGGACGUCCUAGGAAGAAGCGCCUUCUUUGUUAACUGGACAGGGGUCCUGAAAAUCCGGCCUGAGGAUCCAGAAAGCUGGGUCCUACAGAGAGUCCCUUUGGGCACCAGUUUCACCCCACCUCACCCUCUCCACCGCCAAGGCCCAGCCACACGGCACAUCACUGUGGCUGCCUGGAGGGCAGGGAGAAGAAGGAAGACAAAGGUGCCCACUCUUACCCCUUCUCUUCAACCUUGUGCACAGAGCAAAAAAAUAAAAAAUAAAAUGUGUAAAAAUUUGUUAAUGAAAAAACUGUUUGCAGUGAAAUGAUAAACAUUUGCGGUGUUAAAAAAAAAACACACAUACACCAACAGAAUAAGCAAAUUUAGCACCAUUACAGAUCACAUGGUCAAUUAAUAUAAAUCGCUUAUAUUUCUAUAUACCAUCAGUUGUUCCGGCACCACUUGCUGAAGACUCUCCUUUCUUCACUGAAUUGCCUCUUCGCCUUUGUCAAAAAUCAAUUAAUCGUAUGUGUGUGCAUCUAUUUCUGGACUUUCCAGUCUAUACAGUUGAUCUAUUUGCUUGACACCAGUAUCACGUGGUUUUAAAUACUAUAGUUUACAAGAAGUUCUGAGAUCAAACAGCUUCGGUUCUCCUUUUUGUCUUUUUUGCCUUUUCUAGGGCUGCGCCUGCGGCAGAUGGAGGUUCCUAGGCUAGGGAUCAAAUCGGAGCUGUAGACACCAGCCUAUGCCAGAGAAGUUCAUUAAAUUCAGUCAACGAUAUUUUGUAGUUUUCAGUGUACAGGUCUUGUACAUCUUAUCAGAUUUAUACUUAAGUAACAUAUAUCUGAUGAUAUUGUAAAUGGUAUUUGCUUUUUUUUUUUUUUUGUCUUUUUGCCAUUUCUAGGGCCACGACAGUGGCAUAUGGAGGUUCCCAGGCUAGGGGUGGAAUCGGAGCUGUAGCCACCGGCCUACAGCAGAGCCACAGCAACGCGGGAUCCAAGCUGCGUCUGCGACCUACACCACAGCUCACGGCAACGCCGGAUCCUUAACCCACCGAGCGGGUCAGGGAUGGAAGCCGCAUCCUCAUGAAUACUAGGCAGGUUCAAAACCUGCUGAGCCACCACGUGAACUCCCUAUAUUUCAAUUUUUGAUUAUACAUUGCUUACUAUGUGGAAAAAUUGAUAUUUGUAUAUUGAUCUUAUAUCCUGCAACCUUGCUAAAGUCACUUACUAGUUUUACAGAUUUUACAGAUUUCAUAGAAUUCUCUAUGUAGACGACGUUAUCGGCAAAAUCGAAGCUUAACUUCUUCCUUUCUAAUCUGGAUUCCUUAAUUUUUGCCUCAGUGCACUGGCUACAUCU